Oncorhynchus tshawytscha (Chinook salmon) is the source of this 3941-nucleotide long non-coding RNA. RefSeq lists it as uncharacterized. The record is from RefSeq and is a predicted model, not a curated record. Lineage: Eukaryota; Metazoa; Chordata; Actinopteri; Salmoniformes; Salmonidae. The transcript has 3 exons.
AGGAAGGGGGCUGGUAUGCUGGUCUUGUCUGCACAUGACAGGGUGGAGAGAGAGUGUCUUGGAUUUUUCCACAUGGGAACCUAUAUCCAGGUGUGCUGUGUGUGCCGAACAAAACAGUAGUAAAACACAGUGUUCUGUUAUUGUUAGUGUAACAGCAUGUUCCUUUGUGCCCACCCUUUAUAAUUCCACAUAAGUUCCUUAAUCCUCAUUGAUGACAGUUUAAGAGAGGUUUUUGAUCCUAUUGUACAUAAUACUUGAUUUGCAAUAAUAUGCCACAUAAAAGGCAUCCAAGUGUUGGAUCAAAUAUUUGAAUGAAGGAAAAGACCUGCCAAAACAAUGACAGUUGGAAUGAACAUAUUACAUUGAUAUCAUGGUAUGAUGUGUAAAGCUCUUAAUAAUAGACCAAUGGCAGACACUGACAUCUCCAACUACCCGUCUGAUGGGGAGGGAGAAGGAAAGAGCAAUGACACCCUGACCCAGAGCAGACUGGAAGCUGGGGUUGUUGCUGAGUGUCCUAUUCAGACUGGAGGCUGGGGUUGUUGCUGAGUGUCCUAUGCAGACUGGAGGCUGGGGUUGUUGCUGAAUGUCCUAUGCAGACUGGAGGCUGGGGUUGUUCCUGAGUGUCCUAUGCAGACUGGAGGCUGGGGUUGUUGCUGAGUGUCCUAUGCAGACUGGAGGCUGGGGUUGUUGCUGAAUGUCCUAUGCAGACUGGAGGCUGGGGUUGUUCCUGAGUGUCCUAUGCAGACUGGAGGCUGGGGUUGUUGCUGAGUGUCCUAUGCAGACUGGAGGCUGGGGUUGUUGCUGAGUGUCCUAUGCAGACUGGAUGCUGGGGUUGUUCCUGAGUGUCCUAUGCAGACUGGAUGCUGGGGUUGUUGCUGAGUGUCCUCUGCAGACCGGAGGCUGGGGUUGUUGCUGAGUGUCCUCUGCAGACUGGGGAGGGAGAGGGCAGCAGAUGGUCGGUCACUGACUGGGUCAGGUCCACUCUGGCAGUGCGGCAGACGCCCCAGAAACAUACAGACAGGAACUCCAAGGACCCAUAGGACUCCAACAAAAAGAAAAGGACAUUUCAAAGGGGCGGCCUGGCGGAGUGACUGAACAGGCUCCAGUGCAGACAGAGGUCAACCAUCAGCUUCUGGAGGCACCAGUCCAUCUCUGACAUUACUACAACAGCCACAGAAACAAGGACAUUUCUAAGUGACCCCAAACUUUUGAAUGGUAGUGUACUUUAUUCAUUCACAACAUCUCUCGCCAUAAGAGAUAUUACAUCAUGAGUGACACUGACAGUGAAAGUUGAUUGAUUUUUCUGAUUCAGAAAUUGGAAUUGCUAUUCAACUUCCUCAGUUGAAAACUGAAUUGACCCCAACCCUGCAAUACAACGUGCCCCACACAGACACUGACACCAUCUGUGCUGUUCUUGUCCUUCCUACAUUGCCUAGGAUUCUGGAGGUCCUGACAGUCCAGGUGGCGAGCUGCAUGCAGCUGGCCCUGUGUGAGCAGCACUACCCCCCUGCUACGGACCAGCGCAGACCCCCUCUCACCACCAGAGCUAACCAGAACCACUCCCCCACUACAGACCACAACAGACCCCCUCUCACCACCAUAGCUAACCAGAACCACUCCCCCACUACGGACCACCACAGACCCCCUCCCUCCACCUUCACCACUCCCAGCAGCAGAGCCCGGAUCCUGGUACUGUUUAUUAAGGAGACAGCUGCCCAGCUCAUGCCUGAACCUAGAGACAUCAUCGAUGUGUACCCACCAUGGUGAGAGUGCACCAGUCUGCAGUAGUUACAGUAUUGGUAAUGCACAGCUAUGGUGUCAUGUUAUAAUUUUAAUGGCACGGGAAAUGCCAGAGUCAUUAUGUCAUCUAUCAUCGAGCACGUAUCCUCCUCAUGCAGUAAAGCUAUGGUCAUAUCUCACGUUGAACCCAGUUUAUAUGUUUUUAUAUAGGCCUACCAGUACUUUUCUGUUUUAAAAUGUGUUGUAACGGGAAACACUAUUCGGCUAGUGAGGCCCAAUAGCCCUCUGGUGCAGUGCAGUAGUGUUAUACACACAGAGUAGUUGGGGCGUGUGAGGUUGUUUUGGAACAGGAGAAAGGCAGAGGCUGGUUCCAGCUGUUGAGGGUUUACUUUGGGAGUCCAGCGGCCACCUCUGGAAUAUCCAGUCUGGGGCCUGGCCUGGUGGAAGCCCAGGGGCCUAUUGUCAGCUUUGGAAUAUCCCGACUGGGGACUGGCCUGUUGGAAGCCCAGGGGCCUACUCUAAGCUCUGACGUCACCAGCUGCUCCAGGGAAUGAUGCUUCACAUUCCUCUUCCUGGCAGUAGAGUAGUUAGGUCAUUUCCAGCAAGCCGGCCUGGGAAAAAACACACUGGGAUUAUUUUCUGGAGCAUUUGGGAACUAUGUGGAAGAAGCCAAAAGGACCGGAUUGAAAACACAUGCUGCUCUGCUGCACACACACACGAAUGUGCGCACACACACACACACACACACACACACACACACACACACACACACACACACACACACUGUGUAAUGUAUCAUUGAUUUAGAAUUAUUAGAGCAGUUUUAUUUUCACCAGCAGUAGAGAACAGUAGUCUCCCGCUGACUGUUAUUGAAAGCAAAAUAAUUUCAGCAUUUAUAAACAAAUGUAUUUAUUUAUUUGAAUGCUCUUUCUACUCAUGGUCCUUGCCAUUGUCUUAUUUUGUAAAUUAAAAUAUAGGCCUACAAAUUUUCCUUAAAUACCCUCCCCCCCAACUUUACUCAAAAUAUCCUAUUUGCUGAUAUAGAGAUUUUUAGAACGUCCAAAAGGGGUAAACGCACGUAAUUCAUAGAAUCCUCGAUGCUGGUUAAAUUUCUAUUUCUUAUCUACCAGCUUCCUGUGUGACAUGUGAAUGGUUCCCACCCCCAUACUCCUUCACUGACUGGGCCCCUCCAUCCGCCUAGCCGCCUACCACUCCUUGUGAGACAGUGGAGCGGAAAUACCUGCCAGCAUUAUUCACCUUUGCUCUGACGACAGCAGCCGCUCCUUAACUACCUGUCUGAUGACACAUGUACUAGUUCCCAACAGUCACCUGCACUGUGCAGGGUAACACUUUAUGUACUGUUGUUCCUCCAAGAAAGCCUUUAUCACUGAUAGUUGAGCGAUUUAGGUAUAGAUUCAAUUUAGAAUAUGGAGUCUUUGAAACCUUAAUACUGACACUGAUUGAGUGUGAUGAGGCACUCUAUAUACCCUUUAUAUUAAGAGGGUUUAUUAACAUUGAGAAAUCAUAGGCUAAACUAUAACUAAAACAUUACACGUGUGUAGCUAGAGUGUGUGCACUUGUUCACUUCUGGCCAACAUCUCAAACAUGAGUCUAUUCUUGAUCAUUUCAUGAUGAUUCGACACAACAGAAAUGUACACCUUUUGAAUAGCAGAUAACAUAUUAUUUUCUAAGUGAACUCGAUUACAUGAAAUUGCUAAUUUGUUAUAUUGACAGCACCUGUAACCUACAUUUUUAUGAAGUGUGAUUAAUUAUCCUGCCUCCUCUAUCAUAUCACCAGUCAGAGGCAGGCUGGAACAUGUAGGUCUAGCUGGAUCCACAGAGACUGUGGUUGUCUCUGAGUCAACUAUAAGCCAUGUUGUUAUUACCUGUGCCACAUCAACAUUAAAAAAAUUGAGUCAGAACAUUGCCUUAUCCACAUAAUAAAGAUGAUGCGAUCUAAAUAAGAUUGCUUGUUUUUAAAGGCUGGAUAUUUCUUGGUAUAUUAACGUUCAGGAAAGCUUAAAGUGAAUCCCCUUUACGAGCUGUAAUACUUGACUGUUGAUUUAAAAAAAGUUUAUUUUCUCAGUAUUUGUCCUCCUGGUAUAAAAGGAACACCACAUGUUUCUCCAUGAUUAGUCUCCCCCAAAAAUAUAAUAAUUUCAUUUCACUGCAGCUAUCAUUGCACCUACUGUGCAUUUGGA